Molecule: non-coding RNA, 73 nt
Organism: Myotis lucifugus (little brown bat)
Lineage: Eukaryota; Metazoa; Chordata; Mammalia; Chiroptera; Vespertilionidae
Source: Rfam
AUAGCGGUGGGUGGUUCCCUCAGCCGGAUUGCGAGAGGGCACAGGCCAGGCAGAGGGAACCCACCGGUGCAUG